UGUGACCUGGGGUGCUUCUCUCUCUCUCCCUGGCAUUUCCGUUUCCGUUCUGAUUCCUUCCUCAGUUUCAUUUAGAGCGCGUCUGGUGGCGUUGGCAGUGCGGCAACUCGCGGUGUAUUUCGGCUGCAGUAAUUGUAGCGAGAGCAGUGAAUGCUGGCUGGUAGACUGAGCUAUGACACCGGUUGUGAGUAACCAUAUAGCGUUGCAUCUAAUGUUUAUUCAAUAACAAUCGUAAGUAUGCCACUUAUUUCUUCAUAUUGGUGGUUAUCUUGUUUUAAUCGUUAUAAUAAUUUGUUUUUUUAUUCUUUAGUUAAGGGGAAAUUAAAACAUCUUAGUCCUCAUCCUGGCCAAUGAUUUCAGACAACGCAGCUGCUGUUUUGCUUAGGGACGCAUUUUGGAGUCCGAUCUGCACUUUACGGACUUUUGUGCUUUAAUACUUUGAGAGUUUACGAAGCUGUAAAAACUGAGUAUUUUCUCCGCAUGGACUAUCUACCAGUUGAGGUUCUGGAUUGGUUUUUUUCUUCUAACCGUAAUUGUUUGUUUUGUUUGUUUGGUUAUAUUUGUGUUUUUUUGGUAUUGAUUUGUUUACCCUGCAUUUUCUUUUGUAAGCAUAUUGUGUGCUGCAAGGGUUAUUUCUUUUUGAGUAUUUAUUGAUUUUGAUUUACGUUUUGUGCAUGGUGUUCUCUGGAUGCUCGAGUGCCAGAGUCGCUACAAAGUGUUUAUAAGUUUCUUUUUUUUGCAUUUUCAUGUUUUCAUUUCUAUAAUUUUUGUUGAAUUUCUUCUUUAAUGUUAUUUUCUGUUUCUCCAGGGCCAGUGAGGAUCGAGUGGAA
Long non-coding RNA from Cyprinus carpio (common carp), 830 nucleotides. RefSeq lists it as uncharacterized. The transcript has 3 exons. Lineage: Eukaryota; Metazoa; Chordata; Actinopteri; Cypriniformes; Cyprinidae. The record is from RefSeq and is a predicted model, not a curated record.